This is a long non-coding RNA of Myotis brandtii (Brandt's bat), 532 nucleotides long. RefSeq lists it as uncharacterized. The transcript is spliced from 4 exons. The record is from RefSeq and is a predicted model, not a curated record. NCBI's taxonomy places the organism in Eukaryota, Metazoa, Chordata, Mammalia, Chiroptera, Vespertilionidae.
AGCUUUGACAAGAUUGCUAUUAAACUAAAUGUCUGUGACAAAGAAGUUCAAGAAGCCAUUGUCAAAACACCAGAUAAUGAGCACAGAGGAUGGCAAAGGAAAGAUGGAUGGAAAUGACAGCAAGAAAAUGCAACGCCUAAACUUAUCCCGUGCCCUCUCUCGCCGCCCGCCAGCGCUGUCACGGGAACAUGUUAGCCAGUCUCCUUGGAAUCAUUACCAGGUCUCCUUGGAAUGGAAACUGUGUCAGACUCCGGGGUCUCUAGACAUCAACGCAAGGCAUUUAUUCUCCACAAAGCCUUCCAGGCACAUGCAGUCGCCGGAGAGGAAUUGUUGAACAGUCCCAACCCCAAUUAAGUUUUCAGCCGCUUUCUGUAACCCUGGAUCAAGAGAUUGACUAUCUCCAGCACUCUAUAGGGAUUUCUCCUGUCACUUCCUAAUAAUACCUACACCACCACCCCCAACAAGGCCAUCGCUAGUCUGACUUCUAUCACCAUCAAUAGUUUGCCUGUUCUUGAACUUCAUAUAAAAGAAU